AGCAACCUUUUCUUUUGCAACCAUGUUAUCAACUUGAAUGAUGUUUUUUUUGACUCCUUGACAUUCACUUUUCUCAAAAGUGUUCCCACAAGCGAAGCCAUAGCACCGGUGGGCAGAGGAAAUAACUGAUGUUACUGGCCCCGAUUUGAAAAUCUGGCACACUUUUCUGUUAUUAGUUCAAUAUGUGGAGGUACGCUUGAUUUUUACAUCUAAACACCUCCCACCGCAAAGGUUGGGCUGAUUCCCUGGUUGUUGCCUGACUCAAUCAUAAUAAUCAAGCGCUUCUACCGUCCGAUUGGCUAAGCCGCACCGCCAACUCUGUGCCGUUGAAAGAAGCUAUUAGUCCGCGCAAAAUAAAUUGGAUCUUGUCGCUAUGGUAAGUAUCAACCCUCUCUCAACAGUUAUUGUUUUAUUUCGAAAGCAGGCGCCAUUACUUGUAUGUGUGAACCACUUAUGUUAGGCCUACCUUUUGUUUCAGUACCAGCAUAUGAUUUUCCAUCAGUUAAGUUCGGCGUUGCCUGGAAAUAUGAUGGAAAGGCCUGAGCGCUCUACCCGGGCAAAAGGACAGCGGGGGAAUGAAGGAGAAAGCUCCGAUAUGCCUACUGCUGUUAGUAAUAUCGAAAAUUUUCAACCACACAAAGUGCAAUGGAAGAAAAGGUCGGAAGAGCUGCAGUCCCGAAUCAAUGAGCUGGAGGAGGAGAAUGCUUUGCUCAAGCAGCAGCUUGAGCAAAGGCCUUCAGCAAAUCAAGGUGAGAAAAUGGACAACACUGCCACCGACCCAGAGUCAGACACUGACUCGAGUUCCAACUCCAGCACUGACUCCACCGAUUCCAGGAGCAGUGAUACAAGCUCUUCCUCCUCUGAUGGCCGCAAGAAAAAGAGGAAGCACAAAAAGAAAAACAAAAAGAAGAGCAAAAAGGCUUCAAAGAACAAAGGACUUCGAG
Molecule: long non-coding RNA, 944 nt
Filed under: Gadus morhua (Atlantic cod)
Lineage: Eukaryota; Metazoa; Chordata; Actinopteri; Gadiformes; Gadidae
Description: lncRNA (ENSGMOG00000026637.1)
Source: RNAcentral